RNAcentral lists this ribosomal RNA (449 nucleotides) under uncultured bacterium. Its description in RNAcentral is "partial 16S ribosomal RNA". It matches the Rfam family "Bacterial small subunit ribosomal RNA", at positions 29 to 523 of the family's 1533-position model. The record is from RNAcentral.
AACGAACGCUGGCGGCAUGCCUAACACAUGCAAGUCGAACGAAGGCUUCGGCCUUAGUGGCGCACGGGUGCGUAACGCGUGGGAAUCUGCCCUUAGGUACGGAAUAACUCAGGGAAACUUGAGCUAAUACCGUAUAAUGACUUCGGUCCAAAGAUUUAUCGCCUGAGGAUGAGCCCGCGUCGGAUUAGCUAGUUGGUGAGGUAAAAGCUCACCAAGGCGACGACCCGUAGCUGGUCUGAGAGGAUGAUCAGCCACACUGGGACUGAGACACGGCCCAGACUCCUACGGGAGGCAGCAGUGGGGAAUAUUGGACAAUGGGCGAAAGCCUGAUCCAGCAAUGCCGCGUGAGUGAUGAAGGCCUUAGGGUUGUAAAGCUCUUUUACCCGGGAUGAUAAUGACAGUACCGGGAGAAUAAGCCCCGGCUAACUCCGUGCCAGCCGCCGCUGUAA